RNAcentral lists this long non-coding RNA (8700 nucleotides) under Aplysia californica (California sea hare). RNAcentral describes it as "uncharacterized LOC106013615". Lineage: Eukaryota; Metazoa; Mollusca; Gastropoda; Aplysiida; Aplysiidae. The record is from RNAcentral.
UGUUGGUCAAGAUUUCUAGAAAACCCCGAAAUCUGGGCUAGCCGGCUUGUCCUAAAAAGCGACCAUAUUAGAGUCAUUAUCUCUUUACCACAGAUGUAUUGAAUUUGUCAGUCUCACUCCUCCUAGAAACAUCGUAUUUGUCCACAUUGAGUUCAAGAUAUAAUAUAUUGGACUGUAAAAAUUCCAGACUCAUUUCAUUUUUUGGGGGGGGGGGGAUGUUCGAAGUUCAAGUCAAUCUGAGUAGUCUUUUCCAAACUGGAGUUUGAGUUAUCAGCCUGCGUCCUCGAGAAAUGUUUGACAGUCUUUGGAGAGAGAGGAUUCUUUCCUGUUAUCAAAUGUGUGUGGAGUUUUGUUAAUAUGGAUGGUCAAUAAGUUCUUAACCCCAGUUACCAACUGGUGGGACAGCUAUUACAGCUCUGUAAUCAGUAAGAUAAUUAUAUAAUGUCAUGUGCCCUCCCCAGACUAGAAUACAUGCAUGGACUGUUCAGCGUAAAACUCUUGUCACACAUGACUUUUCAAAACGGUGUAUGGCGGUGUCUUACUCUGAGCAGUCAAUAUACGGUAUAGCACGCAAACGUCGAACUCAGAAAACUCAAAAUCAGGCAUCCGUCGAACUGUGCCUGUUGUCCCAUUUUUUUCUUCUUCUUUAUCUUUGUAAGACAUCCAUCCCUCAAACUACGGAUCCCUCAAACUACCGAGGCCAGUCCAGACGAAAUCGAGCUAUCCAAGUUAUUCUGUAUAUCCUUUUUAGAAAUAGUACUUUGCCACUGUGGUAUUUGAGAGAACUCAUGUUAGCACCUAGAACCUAAAAAAAAUAAUCAUCAUACUUAUUGUAGCAGAGCCUCCAUUACGUCAGCUGUAACCAUCAAGAAUGUAUUAUACACUACAGCAGUCCUGAAAAAUGUUUGAAAUGACAAUGUACGAUCCAUCUCUUUCUGAGGACUUUCCAGCGCAUCCCAGUGAUGUGACUAAGUUGUCAUGUGGUAUGAAGAAUCAAACUGACUCCGACCAAAGCUAGGCAGAUCAAACGAGGUUUUCGAUGAGGUCAUAGCUGUCUGAAGAUUGAAAAUAUACUAAAGUUACAGCACUAACCCUUGCCAGCAGACAACAGGAGUGUCAGAUUACAUGAGGGAAAGUGUGAAUUUUCUCGAUUUUUACUGCUUUAUUUAUUCAUAAAGGUCCCUUUCAAACAUUUGCACUUGGGCUGAUUUACUAGGCGUGCAUUUCUUGAUCAGCUUACAUUUUCAGGAGGAAUCUUUUUUUUCUUCUUCAAAUUCGGGAUGUCUAGAAAUGCCCUACAUUCUGGAAGUAUUUUUCUUGCACAUUUUCUACGAAUUCUGUCAUACACAAUCAUGUUAGCAUUUCUUUUUUUUGUUUCUAAUCCAGUACAUUUGGAAAUAUUUUUUCAUUUGUGAAGAGGGAAGCAAGAAUGCUGUGCAGAUAAUUUAAAAUAGGCCUGAAACUAGCCCAAGGUAAUAAGUUUGACAGAAUUAAUCGUAAGAUUUAAAUGGUAUGAAAGAAAGUGAGAUAUACAACAAAAAAAAGCUGUGUUUGUAAAAGAUGAUUGGAAUGUGGACAAGUAGAAAUCAGAGGGGGCAACAGGGAGGUGUGAGAAUAAAGAGGACGUGUGAAGGUUCCCGCUACCAAGUGUCCGCAGUGCAAGAGAGUGGUGCUUCUUUUUCGUAGUUGUGUUUGGUUAAUAUAAUUGUGAAUGAGGUGAUGUGUUUUAUGAAUAUUUUUACCACACUGUUCCGGUUCCAGUAGCUCAGAAGGAGAAUACAAAGAGACCCACCCACAUAGUGAACUGCUGGUACCCACCAAGUAGGCAUAAAUAAUUUGUGCAUAUAUUAUAUGAGGAGUCCACUUAAAAAAUGGGCAUAGUCACAAACUGGAAAUUGUGUGGGUGUCAAUUUUGGGCAUAGUCACUAACUGAAAAUUGUGUGGGUGUCAAUUUUGGGCAUAGUCACUAACUGAAAAUUGUGUGGGUGUCAAUUUUGGGCAUAGUCACUAACUGAAAAUUGUGUGGGUGUCAAUUUUAAAAGCUUGUGGACUCAUAUCUUCAUAUUUGUUUGAUUGGUGGUUUAUUUCAUAUGUUUGUUGGACGGGAAAUCUAACAACAUUUGUCAACCAACAGCCGAACAGAAAUACUGUUAUGAGUCAACAAGUGUUUAAAUUGAUACCAACACGAUUUUCAGUUUGUGACUAUGGAUCCGUUUUUUCAGUGGACGCCUCAUAUGUAGACAGGAAAAUGUGGUGCUGUUCUGUACAUUGAAGAUAAAUUGUUUAAGGCAGAAAAUGUCUACGUCCACCGAUGUACAAGAAGUGACGUGAGCAUUCAAACAUGGAACUUUUGUUCUUGGGGAAAGGGUGUGGGAAGGUGAGAAUGGUGGUUGAGGUUGUUCUUGGGGAAAGGGUGUGGGAAGGUGAGAAUGGUGGUUGGAGGAUGUCCUGUAGGCUCAGCCGUUGAAGCCUCGCUGAUGGUAUAUUAUGGAUGUUAAGAGUUAUCAGUGUCAUAGCCAGGUUUCAUUGAUUGCAGUUAAAUGUAAAGAAUUUGAUAUUCGGCUGGAAGAAAAAACGGGAUUGUCGAGCGCUUGCACAUACAAAUCAUGAAUGUACUUGUAUUGAUUGAGUGAAAAUCUGACUUGUACAUUGAAUUACAGAGAUAAGAUUCACAAUGUAGAGUAAUGUUUUUUUCUUUCUGAAUAUACAUUUUUAAGGUCUUUUGCAUGUGCCUGAGCACUUUUGUUUGUGUAUUUAAGAUGAUCUAGGCAAUUGUGUAUAAGUCAUGUUUUCUCUGUGUGUGCAUUCACUUUUUACAUCUGUCUGUGUGUGAGUAUGUGCGAGUGUUUGUGUGUAUGUGUGUUCAAUCUCUGAAAUAUGCAAUAUUACAUGUACUCUUUGUAGAAGCAUUAUAUGCAAUGUGGAGGAGACCAUAUGAAGAAAGUGAGCUACAAAAAAGUGAUUGUGAAUGUCAUUAAAAUUAAUCAUUGGAAAGUAUGAAUUUAAACGAAAACAAAAAAACUGAGAACUUUAUUUAUCUCAGUAUUUCUGUGGGUAAAUCUUCAAUAGUUAGUUGGGUUUUUUUUCCCCCAUUUACAGUAAAUGAAUGCUUUUGAAAGAGUUUCUGUAAGUUUUCUUUGCUAUCAAACAGUCUUGCUUCUUCUUUUUGCUGAAUUUGGCCCUUUCAUCGAUCUGCUGCUUGGUACAAGAUGUACUACUUAUUACAACCAGAUUCAUGCUAUUAUCUUGAGAUUUCAAACGUUACCUACGAUCUGCUUUGUCUUCUCUAAAUUUUUUUAAUGGUAGCAAAAUGGUAACAGAGUAAUAGUGUUCUUUUUCUUCAUCUUCUCAGAAUCUGUCUUUCUCAUUUAAGUCUUAGAAGAAAUGGAACCCUCAUUUUCAAAACUGAUCACACUACGAAACACAUAAUUAUUUAUCUCUAUUGUUAAAAUCUUUAUUUAGUUCCCCCCAUCCCCACUGUUUUGGGAGGGUAUGUGUCUGAAUUACGUUUGUAAAAAAAAAGGGUACAGCUUACGAGUUUGACAUGACCUGAAAAUUUGAAAACUUUUACGAGGAUAGAAUAAAAACAUGCAAUACCACUGUAUGGUCAUUUUUAUGUUGUACUGGUACCAGUUCUCAAGAAUUGUCCAAAAUGACCGUUGUUCUUUUGAUCUAUGCUGCCUGUAAGUAUUAUUUCUAAACACUGAAUAGUUUUCCUUUACGAGUGAUGUCCUUGCUUGAUGAAUUGUUCGUGUUCGCUUCGUUGUGUGGGAACUUAUGCCUGUUGUGUUUGACGUUAAACUUGCAGAUGCGAUAACAGUAUUUUUAUAGCUUACAACAGUUUGUAGUGUACAUUACAAUAUCAUUUUGCUUUUGUAUUGUAACGAUGAAUAUGUUAUAUUAUUAUGGCUGCUGAUGUUUGUUUUGUUUACUUGAAAUGGACCCAUAGAUCUGAUCAUUUAUUCUUGUUUGUGAAUAGCUAUCAUGUUUAUAAACCCCUUUGCAAAAUGUCUAACCUUUGUGAAAGUAAUCGUAUGCUACAUACAUACAUACAUACAUUUAUUUAUGUCGUCUUUUGUUGUUGCGCAUGAGUUGUUUUUUUGUACGUCUGAAUGAAUGACAGAUGAAUGCUCUGUUGUUGUUGUUUGUUUUGUUUUUUCACUCAUAGAUAAUUGGGACAGUUUUUAACAGUUUGAAAUCCAGUUUGAAUGCAAUGAUCUGUUAAUGGAUCUUUUUGAUAAAUGUUUAUUCAAAGUUGUUUUUGUUAUAGGAACCAUGUAAGAAUAGAAUACCUAGAGCAUGCAUGCAGAGUCUUUGUUCUAGUGGGCAAAGUUUUGAAAUACAGUAGGCUACUUGGCCAAUGUUAUUCGGUACCAGUCAUUUUAUUCAAUUUAUAAGCUGUUGAAAUAGUAGGCUAAUAAUUAUUAUUGUACAGAAUAUUAUGGACUUGUGGGGUUUUUUUGUUAACGAGAAGCAAGUCGCACCUAGUGACAUAACACUGUGCUGCCAUAUGCUUACAUAACGCCUUUUUUUUCUUUUUUUUUUCUUUUUGGUGCCAAUUCUUUUAAUUUGCUAAAUCGAAAGACUAAUCAGGUAACCUACUUGUGUGAAUAAAUGAAAGUGAAACUGUGACUUGGUUUUGUAUAAAUUAGAAUUCAAAUUUCGGACGAACACCUUUUUUGAAUGGUUACGCUGACCCAAAAAAAGCCUCAUUAUCUUGAACUUGCUGUGAAUUAUUUUUAAAAGGCGUUUUGUCAGCUUACGGCAGUGUGGGUGUCCGACUACAGCCUAGAUUUAAAAUGUUGUUAUCGUGGAACAGAUUCCUAAUCUUUUACGAGUGAAACAGAAACAAAUUCUUCCUUCUUAUAGUCCUACAAUGAGUCAACAUCCUGCUAUUCUGAGUUGAGAGUGACAUAAACAAAGGGCUGUCACACAAGGUCAGGUCACAAAUUAUUGAUGAAGAUAUUGUUUGUCUUCGGGUAAUUGGUGUUGAAAUGAUUGCGCCCCCGUGCCCCCCCCCCCUUCCUUUCCCCAACAUCCACAUGUAGUCCUUCAUUGUAGAUAGAUGUACACAAAUAUGGUCUUACUCAUACCCCCCACCCCCCACCCCCCAUACCUCUACUCCCAUCAAACAUCAUUGCCCCUAUGAACCCCUACUCUUUUGUCGUCUUCGAGUUGCCAUUUUUACCUCUGUAUUAAAAGUUCAUUAUUAUUAACCACAUCUGUAAUAAUAAGAAAUUGGCUAUGCACAUUUCGUACACAUAUUUUAUUUGAGUGAUCAAUUCAUGUACUAUCAAUUAGAUCGACCCUUUAGAGCUGUUUACAUAGUGCGGAUGAGUGAGACAGAGUGAGCGUGUUUCUGUCAGGGUGUGUUCGGUUAGAAUCAGGCUGGAGUAUGAUGAUGUUGUGUGUUCUGUGUUCGGUUAGAAUCAGGCUGGAGUAUGAUGAUGUUGUGUGUUCUGUGUUCGGUUAGAAUCAGGCUGGAGUAUGAUGAUGUUGCGUGUUCAUACGACUGGGUCAUGUGCUUGGUUUGACUUGUUUUUUUUGAAAAUGUAAAAGAAUUGCGGACUCUCAUUUAGGCCACUUUAAGUUUAAUAUCCCCUUCAUGACACAGGGUCAGUUUGUGCUUCACUGGGCAGUUUUUGAUCCCCAUGGACACAAACAAAGUAGCGCUAGAUUUGGUGGUCACUUUCCUAUAUUUAGACCUGGUUUUCAAAUACUGCAUGCUGAGUGUGUCUAAAAGAAACAAUUUUCUUUUUAUGGAAAAAUUAUUCCUGAGUGCGAAUCUGAGAUUAAUUUUACAAAAUAUGUCUAAUAGAAACAGUAUGCAGAGUACAGCCUAUGACGAAGGGCGCUGGUCAUCAUGGUCCUUGUGUUGCGCAAGGCAUGAUGAACUCUGCAUGUCACAGCAACUUCUUGGCUCAUUCACUGCAUAAGAAAAAAUGACGAACGGCUUAAGUCAUAUUGGUCUCGAAGGGGUUAAGGGGCUUUGUGUUUUGCGUGGCUGCACUAACUUCUCUACUCCCUUAGAGUAGGAUCAAGACAUUGAUUAUAGUAUUGUAGUCAAUAUUUUAAUAUUUUACACCACCAUUGACACAAUUUAGACCAUUUAGAGGCAGACUGCCUCAACUCUGCCUGCCAGGGUAGCGCUAGAUAAGUAGGACAGAUGCGGUGAAUGAAUUGAAUAUAUCCCUGCAGGAAGAAGGAGAUUUUUCUGUAAAAUAUUAUCUUCCCCAUUUUAGAAUGGAACUUGCAUCUCUUGCUUGUGAGGUGAUGAAAAAGGGCCUAGGAACUACACUGCAGACACUGGUGCUGGUACAGAGUGCGACUCUCAUUUGUAGGUGUAAUUGUAGACUUGGAUUUACCGCGAUUUUUUGUUUUGUUUUGUAGAUACAGAUGUGUCUUCUUGAAUAUAGAAUGCGGAAUGUGAAAUGUGUGUGUCAGUGACAGGCUUCAAGAUGUAGUAAGUGUAAGUGUGUCAGAGGCUCCAUUUUAUGGCCACUGCCUCACGACGUAAUGUUGUGUAUUUGUGUCUGUGUGUAUUUUAUAUGCACUUUGACUCCACUACGACUAUGCAUGGUGUGUCCGUUGAAGUCGGUGUGUGUCUGUCCUGUUUUGGGUGUGUUUACAGAGUUAGGUGUGUAGCCGAUCCUGCUGUAAAACCAUCUUUGCCAUAUUAUUAUUAUCAUAAUGGAAGAGAACAUAAUACAUCAUUAAAGCAGGAACAUUAUGGUCAUAGUUUCCCGUAGAGAUACAAGGUGGUUUAAAAAAGCAACUGAUAUCAUGAUUUCCAUAAUGCAUGAAUAAUGGAUAUCUCCUAAAGCUGAAGCUGUAACAUUUGGCACUUGAUGCACGUUUUGUUCUAGUUUAGGAAGUGUUGAAAGUUUGAGGAAGGUAACAACAAUUUCCGUAGAGUUGCAAACCUGUAGAAUUUUUUUACUUUUCCCCGCAGCUUGUAAUAAUCUCAGAUAGGACAGUUAGAAACCAUAUAAAGAACUACAGUGAACGAAUGAAAGCGAGCGAAGGAGAGAGGGAGAGCAGGACGGAGGAAAAAUAGUGAUGGAGUGAGGAUGAAAAGCACAGAUGAAGAGAAGGAAACAAAAAGAGGAGAAAGGAACAAAAGUGAAGGAGGGAAGAAAAAAAGACUAAUGAGAGAGAGAGAGAGAGAGAGAGAGAGAGAGAGAGAGAGAGAGAGAGAGUAAAGGAAUGUUGUAAAAGAAAAGGAUGUUAAUCCUUUGAUCAAUUGUAUGACAAUCACUGCCAAAUAUAUAUGGAAGUUUCAUCAAGCCAUGGCCUCGCACAGAUUGCCAAAGGUUUUUUUUUUUAAUUUUGUAAUUGAACUGGCCACAAACGUAAUUACCGAUAUGCUCUCCACUUCUAGCCAGGCUGGACUGUAGAAUGUUAUGUCACAGCACGGGUCCUGUCAAGCGGGGAAUUUUUCUCAAAUCGCUUCCUCUUUCAUUUGCGGUACUAGUGUCUAAUGUGGACUUUCUUUAGGAUAUCAAUGCUCUAUUCGAAAUUUGCCUGAUUCGUUGAUAAAUUCAUCUGUUUUAUUUUCCCCGUCCAGUCUGAGCAUGACAUUUCUUGGUCAAAAACCUAGCUGCUUUAACUUCACAUUUCAAAUUUUGCCAAGAUGGAUCCUUUUUUAAAAGCCUCAGUGGCUCAGGUAACUUUCAUUUAUACAUGAUUUAUAUUAUUAAUAUUAUAAAUGUUUAAAAUAGGUACGAAAGCUUUCCCUGAAAAAAAACACCUGUUGUCUUAGAACACUUGCGUUGAUUACUGCACUUCACCGAUGUCAAUGAACUCUGCACCUGCCAGGACCCAUCUACUCAAUUCAAAAUUGUACAUUUAAUUGAUCUUUGAAAAGAUGAUUACCUAUUUACCCGGAAUCAUACCCUUUUUAUUAGGGUAUCGAGGUUACUCAUUGAAGAGAGAGCUGUGGAUUAAGAGGUUAAGCGAUGUGAGGAAAAGAGAAGUGUUUUGAGUCAAAGUAAAGUUACGUUUGAAAAGUCUAUUCUGUGCCAGACCAUAUUUGGCAGGAUGCCUAAAUAAAAAUAAAUAGGCUACAUGUAAAGUUUAUGAUAUAUAUAAUACAUUAUAUCGCUAGCAUUGCUCAUACUCAUUCUGUGAGUUGCAUAAGAGAAAGCAUUGUUUAGAACUGUCUUUAGAAAUGCUACAUCAGUUAAGUUAUUUAUAUAUAUUUUAUAUUGAUACAAUAUUAUUGUUUUGCCGGUCUUCCUAGCUUCACUUUUUGAUUUUGAUGUAAAAUAAGAUGCAUCUAAAGUUAUUAAUGAGCUUUCUGAAAACAGGAAGGCCUUCCAUCUGAAUGAAGGUAGAAAUAAAAUCAAAGUUUUUUUCCUGUAUUACGUUGUGUUACUCUAACUCUUAAAAAAACUUUUACAGUUACAUGCAGUAAAAAUGUUAAUUGUAUAAAUGUCAGAAACUCGGUUAUUGUUUCUUUUCUCUUCCAAGUCUCUCUCUUUUUUUUUCGACUUGAUCCGCAGUGGUGGAGAACAUAUCCUUAGUUACAGUUACACUCAUAUUAUGUUAGUACUGAAUCCUAAUUUAUUCAUUUUCACUUUGUGUGCAAGAGGAGAGAGAUGAGUGGGAUUUUUUUUUAUUCACGAUGCACAUGUGGGGCAUACUACUGCCCGUAUCCCUUUGCAGUCUACGAUUAUUAAAUGAAAUAGAACAAAUGAA